This 719-nucleotide ribosomal RNA is filed under the name uncultured archaeon. RNAcentral describes it as "bacterial SSU rRNA". It matches the Rfam family "Archaeal small subunit ribosomal RNA", at positions 138 to 858 of the family's 1478-position model. The record is from RNAcentral.
AACUGAGAAUAAUGUCCGAUAGAACACUAUACCUGGAAUGGUUUGUGUUCCAAAUGAUUUAUCGCCGUAGGAUGGGACUGCGGCCUAUCAGUUUGUUGGUGAGGUAAUGGCCCACCAAGACUAUUACAGGUACGGGCUCUGAGAGGAGUAGCCCGGAGAUGGGUACUGAGACACGGACCCAGGCCCUAUGGGGCGCAGCAGGCGAGAAAACUUUGCAAUGUGCGAAAGCACGACAAGGUUAAUCCGAGUGAUUUGUGCUAAACGAAUCUUUUGUUAGUCUUAGAACCACUAACGAAUAAGGGGUGGGCAAGUUCUGGUGUCAGCCGCCGCGGUAAAACCAGCACCUCAAGUGGUCAGGAUGAUUAUUGGGCCUAAAGCAUCCGUAGCCGGCUCUAUAAGUUUUCGGUUAAAUCUGUACGCUCAACGUACAGGCUGCCGGGAAUACUGCAGAGCUAGGGAGUGGGAGAGGUAGACGGUACUCGGAAGGAAGGGGUAAAAUCCUUUGAUCUUUUGAUGACCACCUGUGGCGAAGGCGGUCUACCAGAACACGUCCGACGGUGAGGGAUGAAAGCUGGGGGAGCAAACCGGAUUAGAUACCCGGGUAGUCCCAGCUGUAAACUAUGCAAACUCAGUGAUGCAUUGACUUGUGGUCAAUGCAGUGCUGCAGGGAAGCCGUUAAGUUUGCCGCCUGGGAAGUACGUACGCAAGUAUGAAACUUA